GACGAACGCUGGCGGCGUGCUUAACACAUGCAAGUCGAACGGAAAGGCCCUGCUUUUGUGGGGUGCUCGAGUGGCGAAAGGGUGAGUAACACGUGAGUAACCUGCCCUUGACUUUGGGAUAACUUCAGGAAACUGGAGCUAAUACCGGAUAGGAGCUCCUGCUGCAUGGUGGGGGUUGGAAAGUUUCGGCGGUUGGGGAUGGACUCGCGGCUUAUCAGCUUGUUGGUGGGGUAGUGGCUUACCAAGGCUUUGACGGGUAGCCGGCCUGCGAGGGUGACCGGCCACAUUGGGACUGAGAUACGGCCCAGACUGCUACGGGAGGCAGCAGUGGGGAAUAUUGCAGAAUGGGCGGAAGCCUGAUGCAGCAACGCCGCGUGCGGGAUGACGGCCUUCGGGUUGUAAACCGCUUUCGCCUGUGACGAAGCGUGAGUGACGGUAAUGGGUAAAGAAGCACCGGCUAACUACGUG
This 468-nucleotide ribosomal RNA is filed under the name uncultured bacterium. RNAcentral's name for it is "partial 16S ribosomal RNA". It matches the Rfam family "Bacterial small subunit ribosomal RNA", at positions 28 to 507 of the family's 1533-position model. The record is from RNAcentral.